UUGGAGAUCCCAAUUUGUUUGCCAUCCCUGAUGACAUCUCACCCAGGACUUAAGCCCUAGCCUCAGAUGGAUGACUUUUACAAGGGCAUCUCUUCGGCAACUGCAAGGAAAUUAAUUCUUCUGCUCUGUCAGGAUUCCUCAGCAUUUUGGAAGCAUGGACCAUAAUUCUUUUCUAGGUUGAGCUAAUCCACAUCUCUAGCACGAUUCCAUCCGCAAACAACUGUGAAAUCAGAAAUCUUCCAGCUGUUGAUCCCAUAAGUCUAGUGAAAAGAUAACAUAUUGCAUUAUUGGCUCUGAUCAUUUCUGUUGUUGUUCACUCAGUAAAAAUCUGAGAAUCUU
Molecule: long non-coding RNA, 339 nt
Organism: Podarcis raffonei (Aeolian wall lizard)
Lineage: Eukaryota; Metazoa; Chordata; Lepidosauria; Squamata; Lacertidae
Exons: 2
Source: RefSeq, a predicted model, not a curated record